RNAcentral lists this long non-coding RNA (199 nucleotides) under Glycine max (soybean). RNAcentral's name for it is "long non-coding RNA (GMAX_LNC001060)". Lineage: Eukaryota; Viridiplantae; Streptophyta; Magnoliopsida; Fabales; Fabaceae. The record is from RNAcentral.
GUCAGUGUCCACACAAAGAUUAUUGAACAUGAGAGUUGUACCUGAAGGGACAAAUAGUCAUCAGGCCAUACAAUAGCUUAUGUUGAUGGCACAAGAAGGUCUUGCAACUGGGUGUAGCUCAAUUGAGGAGUGACUGCCAUUGAGGAAGAAACCUAAUAUAGGUGGCAGGGGAGGUGGCUGCAAGGGCAAUUGAGCAUGG